This 386-nucleotide ribosomal RNA is filed under the name uncultured Bacteroidota bacterium. RNAcentral's name for it is "bacterial SSU rRNA". It matches the Rfam family "Bacterial small subunit ribosomal RNA", at positions 28 to 412 of the family's 1533-position model. Lineage: Bacteria; Pseudomonadati; Bacteroidota. The record is from RNAcentral.
GAUGAACGCUAGCGGCAGGCCUAAUACAUGCAAGUCGAACGGUAACAUUGGUGCUUGCACCAGAUGACGAGUGGCGCACGGGUGCGUAACGCGUAUGCAACCUACCUUUUACUAGAGUAUAGCCCAGAGAAAUUUGGAUUAAUCCUCUAUAACAUCUUUUAAUUUCAUGAUUUUAAGAUUAAAGUUUUAACGGUAAAGAUGGGCAUGCGUCCUAUUAGUUUGUAGGUGAGGUAACGGCUCACCUAGACUACGAUAGGUAGGGGCCCUGAGAGGGGGAUCCCCCACACUGGUACUGAGACACGGACCAGACUCCUACGGGAGGCAGCAGUAAGGAAUAUUGGACAAUGGAGGAAACUCUGAUCCAGCCAUGCAGCGUGCAGGAAGAA